This 252-nucleotide ribosomal RNA is filed under the name uncultured bacterium. RNAcentral describes it as "partial 16S ribosomal RNA". It matches the Rfam family "Bacterial small subunit ribosomal RNA", at positions 524 to 776 of the family's 1533-position model. The record is from RNAcentral.
UACGUAGGGUGCAAGCGUUAAUAGGAAUUACUGGGCGUAAAGCGUGCGCAGGCGGUUUUGUAAGUCUGUCGUGAAAGCCCCGGGCUCAACCUGGGAAUUGCGAUGGAGACUGCAAGGCUUGAAUCUGGCAGAGGGGGGUAGAAUUCCACGUGUAGCAGUGAAAUGCGUAGAGAUGUGGAGGAACACCGAUGGCGAAGGCAGCCCCCUGGGUCAAGAUUGACGCUCAUGCACGAAAGCGUGGGAGCAAACAGG